Molecule: non-coding RNA, 678 nt
Organism: Pelobates cultripes (western spadefoot toad)
Lineage: Eukaryota; Metazoa; Chordata; Amphibia; Anura; Pelobatidae
Source: the annotation of a GenBank genome assembly
GUCAUAGCAUUAAAAAUAAAUAAAUUAAAUAUUUUAGUUAAGAAAAACAAAAUAUUUACAAUUUUAGUCACAUAACUAACCUUCUUUAUGUACAUACAUUAUGAUUGUUAGCAUUUUUAUAGCAUCAACAUAUUCGACAUGUGUUUACAAUUAUAGAAAGGUGAUAUGAAGAAGGCCCUGUUUAAAUGAGUGGACAAUCUUGGAUCUGUGGAUUUAAGCUAGGCUUGCCCAAGGUGUCUUGCCCAUGACCAGUAUUGUGGUCUGAUUGGUGAGAUCUAAUCCUGGGUAUCCGAGCAGCAACGUUACCACUGCUCUAACCAAUCAAUAUCAUAAUUAAUGGUUUAAUUUUCUCUCUUUCCAUUUAUAGUUUUUAAUGCAUUUCAUAAGCAAAAAUGUAAAGUGAUCAUAUAAAUGUAUAUUCAUUUACAAAGAUAUACUAGUUCAACAUUCAAGCCUCCUUAAAAAUGUAGUGGGUUUAACACUGAAAAGGGAGUUAUGGUCUUGUGACCAAAAAUGUAGGCCAAGAGUAUACUUGAAAAAAAAAAUAUAUAUAUAUAUCCAGUAUAAACAAUUAACACUAACAUAAAUGAGAACUAUUAUUUCUAUUAUCAAGAAAUAAUACAAUAUUUGAUUGUCAUGGUUUGACAAUAAUCUACACAUUGUUUACACUUGUUAACU